Homo sapiens (human) is the source of this 1604-nucleotide long non-coding RNA. Ensembl annotates it as IGSF11 antisense RNA 1. Its record names the gene IGSF11-AS1. Lineage: Eukaryota; Metazoa; Chordata; Mammalia; Primates; Hominidae. The record is from Ensembl.
AGGCACAGAAGCUGCAGAGCAACACAAAGGAUCCUGCGGGCUUGAACAAGGGGCUCGAACAAAAAGCAGUUACUCCACAGAAGACCAGAGGGGUCCUCCCAGCAUUGUGGCUCUAUGAGGAAACUGAGACCCAGAGAUGGAACUGGGAUUCAAAACAAUGUCUAGUGUGACUCCAGAGCCUUUCCUAACUCCUACUUAAAGCCUCUGAGGAAUGCUGAAAAGAGCACAGGACAUAGAAUCCAGAUUAAAAUGAUGAAAGUCAUCAACCUUAAAAGAAGCAAAAAAGAAGAGAAUUAGCUCCUCUGUGUAAUUUUUUUAAAUAUAGCAUCAAACCAUCUUCCCGUCAGCAACAGGCACUGCAGUAUUGAAGAUCAUCACAUGAGGGCAGAGGGCGUAAAAAAGGAUGGUGUGUUGAGACCAGAAGCAGCAGCAGUCCUCGACAUCAACUACAACUUUCCUUCGCACAGUGCAUACCCUCUGAUAUACUGAACCCAACGCCUAUCCUCCAGCCCCCUAAGAACUAGAGAGGGAGCCUCACAACAUUCCAAUUUAAUCCUUCAGAAAAUUCAUUACUCUUCAAAGUUGUCUGUGGUUUUGUGACAACGAUAUGACUAGGUGCAAAAUGGCUUGCAACUAAUUAACAAACAUAGAAGCAUCCAACAAACAUAUACGUGCACAAUCUGAGGAUUUAGGGAUGAAAUCAGUUAUCCAGGUUAGAUAUCAACAAAAGAGCAGUAAUUAUAAAGUUUCAUGAAGAAAGUGGCUGUUGAGGUGUGGAUUAUGUAAGUAAGACUGACAACAAGAAAUGAUUUUGUUAUAAUCCAGAAGUAAAACUAAAUAAAUGUUCUUUAAAUUGAUGGAUAAAUAAGAAAGAAUUUAUUUACAACAGUAAAUAAAUCCAAUACUUGUUAUAAAUAAGAUAAAGCUGGCUAUAAAUUCACAUUUUCAUGUGAGCGUUUUGAAGUAUGUGGACAUAAAAAACACACACCUCAAGCAUACUUCUCAAUGAUUUCUGAUAAAGAACACACCUUUGUAACCAGCACAUGGUGUAAAACCAGAAACAGAACAUUACCAGAUUCCUAAACAAGCCUUCUUUGUGCCCCUUUUUAGUCACUACCCUCCCCCAUUCAAGGUAACUUCUAUCUUGACUUCUAACACCACACUUUUAGUUUUGCCUAUUGUUAACUUGAUAUAAAUAGAAUGAUACUGUAUAUUUUGUGUGUGUUUGGCUUCUUCUGCUCCAACUUUUGUUGGUAAGGUUUAUACAGAUUAUUAAAUAUAGCUAUAGUUCAUUUAUUUCUAUUACUAUGCAGUAUACUUGGAUUCAGGAAUACACCAUAACUUAAUCAUCCAUUCUAUUGUUGACUGGUUUGGCAAUUUUCUAAACAUACGCAAAUUCUAUGAACCAGCAAUUCUAUCCCGUGUAUGUGUAUAUAUACACACAUGUUAAAUAUAUACACAGAAACAUGCUGUGAAAGUGCUUUGCAAAUGGCAAAAUGUAAAAUGUAAGGAAUGUUACCAAAGAGCUGAAACGCACUGUGUCUUUCUUGCAACACAGAUUCUUGGACAUAUCAGAUAAUAAAUGUAUUUUGUAUUGAAAAUAA